GAUGAACGCUGGCGGCGUGCCUAAUACAUGCAAGUCGAGCGAACGGACGAGAAGCUUGCUUCUCUGAUGUUAGCGGCGGACGGGUGAGUAACACGUGGAUAACCUACCUAUAAGACUGGGAUAACUUCGGGAAACCGGAGCUAAUACCGGAUAAUAUUUUGAACCGCAUGGUUCAAAAGUGAAAGACGGUCUUGCUGUCACUUAUAGAUGGAUCCGCGCUGCAUUAGCUAGUUGGUAAGGUAACGGCUUACCAAGGCAACGAUGCAUAGCCGACCUGAGAGGGUGAUCGGCCACACUGGAACUGAGACACGGUCCAGACUCCUACGGGAGGCAGCAGUAGGGAAUCUUCCGCAAUGGGCGAAAGCCUGACGGAGCAACGCCGCGUGAGUGAUGAAGGUCUUCGGAUCGUAAAACUCUGUUAUUAGGGAAGAACAUAUGUGUAAGUAACUGUGCACAUCUUGACGGUACCUAAUCAGAAAGCCACGGCUAACUACGUGCCAGCAGCCGCGGUAAUACGUAGGUGGCAAGCGUUAUCCGGAAUUAUUGGGCGUAAAGCGCGCGUAGGCGGUUUUUUAAGUCUGAUGUGAAAGCCCACGGCUCAACCGUGGAGGGUCAUUGGAAACUGGAAAACUUGAGUGCAGAAGAGGAAAGUGGAAUUCCAUGUGUAGCGGUGAAAUGCGCAGAGAUAUGGAGGAACACCAGUGGCGAAGGCGACUUUCUGGUCUGUAACUGACGCUGAUGUGCGAAAGCGUGGGGAUCAAACAGGAUUAGAUACCCUGGUAGUCCACGCCGUAAACGAUGAGUGCUAAGUGUUAGGGGGUUUCCGCCCCCUAGUGCUGCAGCUAACGCAUUAAGCACUCCGCCUGGGGAGUACGACCGCAAGGUUGAAACUCAAAGGAAUUGACGGGGACCCGCACAAGCGGUGGAGCAUGUGGUUUAAUUCGAAGCAACGCGAAGAACCUUACCAAAUCUUGACAUCCUUUGACAACUCUAGAGAUAGAGCCUUCCCCUUCGGGGGACAAAGUGACAGGUGGUGCAUGGUUGUCGUCAGCUCGUGUCGUGAGAUGUUGGGUUAAGUCCCGCAACGAGCGCAACCCUUAAGCUUAGUUGCCAUCAUUAAGUUGGGCACUCUAAGUUGACUGCCGGUGACAAACCGGAGGAAGGUGGGGAUGACGUCAAAUCAUCAUGUCCCUUAUGAUUUGGGCUACACACGUGCUACAAUGGACAAUACAAAGGGCAGCGAAACCGCGAGGUCAAGCAAAUCCCAUAAAGUUGUUCUCAGUUCGGAUUGUAGUCUGCAACUCGACUACAUGAAACUGGAAUCGCUAGUAAUCGUAGAUCAGCAUGCUACGGUGAAUACGUUCCCGGGUCU
Molecule: ribosomal RNA, 1372 nt
Filed under: uncultured bacterium
Lineage: Bacteria
Description: bacterial SSU rRNA
Rfam family: Bacterial small subunit ribosomal RNA
Source: RNAcentral